Molecule: ribosomal RNA, 309 nt
Filed under: Salmonella enterica subsp. enterica
Lineage: Bacteria; Pseudomonadati; Pseudomonadota; Gammaproteobacteria; Enterobacterales; Enterobacteriaceae
Also listed under: 1 other name
Description: partial 23S ribosomal RNA
Rfam family: Bacterial large subunit ribosomal RNA
Source: RNAcentral
GAAUGCUGACAUAAGUAACGAUAAAGCGGGUGAAAAGCCCGCUCGCCGGAAGACCAAGGGUUCCUGUCCAACGUUAAUCGGGGCAGGGUGAGUCGACCCCUAAGGCGAGGCCGAAAGGCGUAGUCGAUGGGAAACGGGUUAAUAUUCCCGUACUUGGUGUUACUGCGAAGGGGGGACGGAGAAGGCUAUGUUGGCCGGGCGACGGUUGUCCCGGUUUAAGCGUGUAGGUGUGUGUUCCAGGUAAAUCCGGUUCACUUUAACACUGAGGCGUGACGACGAGGCACUACGGUGCUGAAGCAACAAAUGCCC